Lolium rigidum is the source of this 315-nucleotide long non-coding RNA. RefSeq lists it as uncharacterized. The record is from RefSeq and is a predicted model, not a curated record. NCBI's taxonomy places the organism in Eukaryota, Viridiplantae, Streptophyta, Magnoliopsida, Poales, Poaceae. The transcript is spliced from 3 exons.
GCCACGACAAGAUCGCUUCCAUCGCAGAGGUGGACUUCGAGGGAGUCAAGGAGCUCGAUUUUUCCCUGCCACCCUCGCUGCAGUGGUGGCCACCGCUCAAGAUGGGGUGCCUCAGCGUAACUCGGUGGCGGCGUCUCCAUGCAGCCAAGGAGUCCAUGGGUGAUAUAUGGCUGUGUGUGCAAUUUCUUUCUGGGCAUGAUGAAUCUUACAUGGUAUUAGGUGUGCAGAUGUUAUAGCAUUCAAGCCUCUCAACAUUCACUCCUGGAGGUACAUCACCUAAUUCCCCAAUUUUUACUUGAUUGUAUCACUUUUUCU